Molecule: unclassified non-coding RNA, 206 nt
Filed under: Hevea brasiliensis (rubber tree)
Lineage: Eukaryota; Viridiplantae; Streptophyta; Magnoliopsida; Malpighiales; Euphorbiaceae
Source: RNAcentral
AAAGUUAGCGGGUUAAUCUUCCACUAGUUUUUACUACACGUGCGUUACAUGCGAUUUUGGCCUUAUUUGGUUCAAACUCUCUGCAUCUGAAAGUGAACUUCCCCAAAGUAACUUAAGAAGUGAUGAAGUGUUUCUUUCCCUUCUUCCAGGAAGGAAGUUGAGAUAAAAUGCCAACCAAACAAUGCAGGCAUGGCUGAGAUGACUGG